Non-coding RNA from Pseudonaja textilis, 302 nucleotides. NCBI's taxonomy places the organism in Eukaryota, Metazoa, Chordata, Lepidosauria, Squamata, Elapidae. The record is from RefSeq and is a predicted model, not a curated record.
ACAAGAAGACAAAGGCAACAUAGAUACAGCAUCUGGAUUGGAGAAUAGAUCCCACUUGGGUGAAACCUCUCAACCACAUUGGUACAACCUCCCAACCAAUCCUUAAGACUAGUGGUGAUGUUAGUAAAUGAGAUCACCUAUAAGUCCGGAAAGUCUGGGACUUUCCACCUUCGCCAAGAUAUAGGGAAUGAGAUCAUGCCAGUAGCCAAGAGGCCCCUAUAGGUUUUCUAGAAACUGCAAUUAGCUACUGAGAUCCUAUGGAUGGCGCUAGAUGCUAGCAGCAAACUGCAGGUGUCCAGAAA